UACGUAGGAUGCAAGCGUUGUCCGGAAUUAUUGGGCGUAAAGAGCGCGCAGGCGGUAUGACACGUCAGAUGUAAAAUAUCCCGGCUUAACCGGGAGGGGCCAUUUGAAACUGGGUAACUAGAGUGAAGCAGAGGAUAGCGGAAUUCCCGGUGUAGUGGUGAAAUGCGUAGAUAUCGGGAGGAACACCAGUGGCGAAGGCGGCUAUCUGGGCUUUAACUGACGCUGAGGCGCGAAGGCUAGGGGAGCAAACAGG
This 253-nucleotide ribosomal RNA is filed under the name uncultured bacterium. RNAcentral's name for it is "partial 16S ribosomal RNA". It matches the Rfam family "Bacterial small subunit ribosomal RNA", at positions 524 to 776 of the family's 1533-position model. The record is from RNAcentral.